CCUACGGGAGGCAGCAGUGAGGAAUAUUGGUCAAUGGGCGCGAGCCUGAACCAGCCAAGUCGCGUGAGGGAAGACGGUCCUAUGGAUUGUAAACCUCUUUUGUCGGGGAGCAAAAGACGCCACGCGUGGCGUUACGAGAGUCCCCGCAGACAAAGCAUCGGCUAACUCCGUGCCAGCCGACGCGGUACUACGGAGGAUGCGAGCGUUAUCCGGAUUUAUUUGGUUUAAAGGGUGCGCAGGCGGAAGGUCAAGUCAGCGGUAAAAUUGAGAGGCUCAACCUCUUCGAGCCGUUGAAACUGGUUGUCGUGAGUGAGCGAGAAGUAUGCGGAAUGCGUGGUGUAGCGGUGAAAUGCAUAGAUAUCACGCAGAACUCCGAUUGCGAAGGCAGCAUACCGGCGCUCAACUGACGCUCAUGCACGAAAGUGUGGGUAUCGAACAGGAUUAGAUACCCGAGUAGUC
This 459-nucleotide ribosomal RNA is filed under the name uncultured bacterium. RNAcentral describes it as "partial 16S ribosomal RNA". It matches the Rfam family "Bacterial small subunit ribosomal RNA", at positions 338 to 795 of the family's 1533-position model. The record is from RNAcentral.